AAGACCUUGCGCUUUUGGAGCGGCCGAUGCCUGAUUAGCUUGUUGGUAAGGUAAAAGCUUACCAAGGCUUCGAUCAGUAGCUGGUCUGAGAGGACGACCAGCCACACUGGGACUGGGACACGGCCCAGACUCCUACGGGAGGCAGCAGUGGGGAAUUUUGGACAAUGGGGGCAACCCUGAUCCAGCCAUGCCGCGUGAGUGAAGAAGGCCUUCGGGUUGUAAAGCUCUUUCAGCCGGAACGAAACGGUUACGGAUAACACCCGUGACUACUGACGGUACCGGAAGAAGAAGCACCGGCUAACUACGUGCCAGCAGCCGCGGUAAUACGUAGGGUGCGAGCGUUAAUCGGAAUUACUGGGCGUAAAGCGUGCGCAGGUGGUUUUGUAAGUCAGAUGUGAAAGCCCCGGGCUCAACCUGGGAACU
This 423-nucleotide ribosomal RNA is filed under the name uncultured bacterium. RNAcentral's name for it is "bacterial SSU rRNA". It matches the Rfam family "Bacterial small subunit ribosomal RNA", at positions 207 to 622 of the family's 1533-position model. The record is from RNAcentral.